Molecule: non-coding RNA, 135 nt
Organism: Hordeum vulgare subsp. vulgare (domesticated barley)
Lineage: Eukaryota; Viridiplantae; Streptophyta; Magnoliopsida; Poales; Poaceae
Source: Rfam
AUGAUACUACCCCCGUCCCAAAAUUCUUGUCUUUGAUUUAUCUAAAUAUAAAUGUAUAUAGUCAUGUAUUAGUAUUUAGAUACAUUCAUUUCUAAAAAAUCUAAGACAAUAAUUUUGAGACGGAGGGAGUACUAG